Molecule: ribosomal RNA, 498 nt
Filed under: uncultured eukaryote
Lineage: Eukaryota
Description: SSU rRNA
Rfam family: Eukaryotic small subunit ribosomal RNA
Source: RNAcentral
CCAAGAAGGUGAAUCAUAAUAACUUUGCAAAUCGAAACUACGUUUCGAUACAUCAUUCAAGUUUCUGACCUAUCAUGCUCUCGAUGGUAGUGUAUUGGACUACCAUGGCAGUCACGGGUAACGGAGAAUUAGGGUUCGAUUCCGGAGAAGGAGCCUGAGAAACGGCUACUACAUCUAAGGAAGGCAGCAGGCGCGUAAUUACCCCAAUCCUAAAUCAGGGAGGUAGUGACAAGAUAUAACAACGCGAUUAAAAUGUCGCGAUUGUAGUGAGGGUAUUCUAAAAAUAGCUUCGAGUACGAUUGGAGGGCAAGUCUGGUGCCAGCAGCCGCGGUAAUUCCAGCUCCAAUAGCGUAUAUUAAAGUUGCUGCAGUUAAAAAGCUCGUAGUUGAACUUCAUGAGCAGUAGGUAGCUUACUACCUGCUCUCUACCAGUCUUUCGACUGUUACUGUGAGAAAUUAGAGUGUUUCAAGCAGGCUAUUGCAGGAUACAUUAGCAUGG